AGUGGACGCUGGCGGUAGGCCUAACACAUGCAAGUCGAACGGCAGCACAGGAGAGCUUGCUCUCUGGGUGGCGAGUGGCGGACGGGUGAGGAAUACAUCGGAAUCUACUUUUUCGUGGGGGAUAACGUAGGGAAACUUACGCUAAUACCGCAUACGACCUACGGGUGAAAGCAGGGGACCUUCGGGCCUUGCGCGAUUGAAUGAGCCGAUGUCGGAUUAGCUAGUUGGCGGGGUAAAGGCCCACCAAGGCGACGAUCCGUAGCUGGUCUGGGAGAGUGAUCUGCCACACUAGAACUGAGCCACGGUCCAGACGCCUACGGGAGGCAGCAGUGGGGAAUAUUGGACAAUGGGCGCAAGCCUGAUCCAGCCAUACCGCGUGGGUGAAGAAGGCCUUCGGGUUGUAAAGCCCUUUUGUUGGGAAAGAAAUCCAGCUGGCUAAUACCCGGUUGGGAUGACGGUACCCAAAGAAUAAGCACCGGCUAACUUCGUGCCAGCCGCCGCCGUAA
RNAcentral lists this ribosomal RNA (506 nucleotides) under uncultured bacterium. RNAcentral describes it as "partial 16S ribosomal RNA". It matches the Rfam family "Bacterial small subunit ribosomal RNA", at positions 29 to 523 of the family's 1533-position model. The record is from RNAcentral.